UUUCCGUAGGUGAACCUGCGGAGGGAUCAUUAGUGAAUUGAAUAUGUUAGCUUACCUUUUCGGAUUCCCUAGCAUCAAAUCAUAUCCAUAACACCUGUGAACUGUAAGGCUGUCUUGAAGACGAAAGUGAUUAGAGCGCCUGCCCAUUUUAUACAAACAUUAAAGUAACAAACGUAUUCUUAUUAUAAUCUAAUAAAACUUUCAACAACGGAUCUCUUGGCUCUC
RNAcentral lists this unclassified non-coding RNA (225 nucleotides) under plant metagenome. RNAcentral describes it as "partial contains small subunit ribosomal RNA, internal transcribed spacer 1, and 5.8S ribosomal RNA". The record is from RNAcentral.